GCGGCCUAUCAGCUUGUUGGUGAGGUAAUGGCUCACCAAGGCGACGACGGGUAGCCGGCCUGAGAGGGUGACCGGCCACACUGGGACUGAGACACGGCCCAGACUCCUACGGGAGGCAGCAGUGGGGAAUAUUGCACAAUGGGCGAAAGCCUGAUGCAGCAACGCCGCGUGAGGGACGACGGCCUUCGGGUUGUAAACCUCUUUUAGUAGGGAAGAAGCGAAAGUGACGGUACCUGCAGAAAAAGCACCGGCUAACUACGUGCCAGCAGCCGCGGUAAUACGUAGGGUGCAAGCGUUGUCCGGAAUUAUUGGGCGUAAAGAGCUCGUAGGCGGUUUGUCGCGUCUGCUGUGAAAACCCGAGGCUCAACCUCGGGCCCGCAGUGGGUACGGGCAGACUAGAGUGCGGUAGGGGAGAUUGGAAUUCCUGGUGUAGCGGUGGAAUGCGCAGAUAUCAGGAGGAACACCGAUGGCGAAGGCAGAUCUCUGGGCCGUAACUGACGCUGAGGAGCGAAAGCAUGGGGAGCGAACAGGAUUAGAUACCCUGGUAGUCCAUGCCGUAAACGUUGGGAACUAGAUGUGGGGACCAUUCCACGGUCUCCGUGUCGCAGCUAACGCAUUAAGUUCCCCGCCUGGGGAGUACGG
This 642-nucleotide ribosomal RNA is filed under the name uncultured bacterium. RNAcentral's name for it is "bacterial SSU rRNA". It matches the Rfam family "Bacterial small subunit ribosomal RNA", at positions 233 to 885 of the family's 1533-position model. The record is from RNAcentral.